RNAcentral lists this ribosomal RNA (461 nucleotides) under uncultured bacterium. Its description in RNAcentral is "bacterial SSU rRNA". It matches the Rfam family "Bacterial small subunit ribosomal RNA", at positions 59 to 507 of the family's 1533-position model. The record is from RNAcentral.
AAGUCGAGGGGCAGCAUGGUCUUAGCUUGCUAAGACUGAUGGCGACCGGCGCACGGGUGCGUAACGCGUAUGCAACUUGCCUCACAGAGGGGGAUAACCCGUCGAAAGACGGACUAAUACCGCGUACACUCCAGCUUGGGGCAUCCAAGCUAGAGGAAAUGAAAAUUCGCUGUGAGAUAGGCAUGCGUCCCAUUAGCUAGUUGGUGAGGUAACGGCUCACCAAGGCGACGAUGGGUAGGGGAACUGAGAGGUUGAACCCCCACACUGGUACUGAGACACGGACCAGACUCCUACGGGAGGCAGCAGUGAGGAAUAUUGGUCAAUGGGCGAGAGCCUGAACCAGCCAAGUCGCGUGAAGGAUGACUGUCUUAUGGAUUGUAAACUUCUUUUAUACGGGAAUAACAAGAGUCGCGUGUGGCUCCCUGCAUGUACCGUAUGAAUAAGCAUCGGCUAACUCCGUG